CCGUGGAGCUUUACUGUAGCCUGAUAUUGAAAUUCGGCACAGCUUGUACAGGAUAGGUAGGAGCCUUUGAAACGUGAGCGCUAGCUUACGUGGAGGCGCUGGUGGGAUACUACCCUAGCUGUGUUGGCUUUCUAACCCGCACCACUUAUCGUGGUGGGAGACAGUGUCAGGCGGGCAGUUUGACUGGGGCGGUCGCCUCCUAAAAGGUAACGGAGGCGCUCAAAGGUUCCCUCAGAAUGGUUGGAAAUCAUUCAU
Molecule: ribosomal RNA, 255 nt
Filed under: Staphylococcus aureus
Lineage: Bacteria; Bacillati; Bacillota; Bacilli; Caryophanales; Staphylococcaceae
Description: partial 23S ribosomal RNA
Rfam family: Bacterial large subunit ribosomal RNA
Source: RNAcentral